CCUACGGGAGGCAGCAGUGGGGAAUCUUGCGCAAUGGGCGAAAGCCUGACGCAGCCAUGCCGCGUGAAUGAUGAAGGUCUUAGGAUUGUAAAAUUCUUUCAGUAGGGACGAUAAUGACGGUACCUACAGAAGAAGCCCCGGCUAACUUCGUGCCAGCAGCCGCGGUAAUACGAAGGGGGCUAGCGUUGCUCGGAAUUACUGGGCGUAAAGGGAGCGUAGGCGGGUUAUCAAGUUGGAGGUGAAAGCCCAGGGCUCAACCUUGGAAUUGCCUUCAAAACUGAUAGCCUAGAGUAUGAUAGAGGUAUGUGGAACUCCGAGUGUAGAGGUGAAAUUCGUAGAUAUUCGGAAGAACACCAGUGGCGAAGGCGACAUACUGGGUCAUGACUGACGCUGAGGCUCGAAAGCGUGGGGAGCAAACAGGAUUAGAUACCCUGGUAGUCCACGCUGUAAACGAUGAUUGCUAGUUGUCGACGGCANGCGUCGUGCGCNGCUACGCAUAGACACNCCGCGUGGGAGGUACGGUCGCGAGAGUAAACGUACGAGAAGUUAGUAGNGUUGNGNGNGCGAGCGACGACGAGGAGAGG
RNAcentral lists this ribosomal RNA (584 nucleotides) under uncultured bacterium. RNAcentral's name for it is "bacterial SSU rRNA". The stretch from base 1 to 510 matches the Rfam family "Bacterial small subunit ribosomal RNA", at positions 338 to 873 of the family's 1533-position model. The record is from RNAcentral.